This 400-nucleotide ribosomal RNA is filed under the name uncultured bacterium. RNAcentral's name for it is "bacterial SSU rRNA". It matches the Rfam family "Bacterial small subunit ribosomal RNA", at positions 356 to 772 of the family's 1533-position model. The record is from RNAcentral.
AAGGAAUCUUCCGCAAUGGACGAAAGUCUGACGGAGCAACGCCGCGUGCAGGAUGACGGCCUUCGGGUUGUAAACUGCUUUUAUAUGGGAAGAUUGUGACGGUACCAUAUGAAUAAGGACCGGCUAACUACGUGCCAGCAGCCGCGGUAAUACGUAGGGUCCAAGCGUUAUCCGGAAUCACUGGGCGUAAAGCGUGCGUAGGCGGGUGUUUAAGUGAGAUGCGAAAUCUUGUGGCUCAACCAUAUAGACUGUAUCUCAUACUGGAUACCUUGAGGACGGCAGAGGCAAGUGGAAUUACUGGUGUAGCAGUGAAAUGCGUAGAUAUCAGUAGGAACACCAAUGGCGAAGGCAGCUUGCUGGGCCGACCCUGACGCUAAGGCACGAAAGCGUGGGGAGCGAA